Molecule: transfer RNA, 77 nt
Filed under: Candidatus Woesebacteria bacterium RIFOXYA1_FULL_38_9
Lineage: Bacteria; Candidatus Woeseibacteriota
Also listed under: 1 other name
Description: tRNA-Val
Rfam family: tRNA
About the family: Transfer RNA (tRNA) molecules are approximately 80 nucleotides in length. Their secondary structure includes four short double-helical elements and three loops (D, anti-codon, and T loops).
Source: RNAcentral
GCUCGCAUAGCUCAGUUGGUUAGAGCGCACCGUUCACAUCGGUGAGGUCCCAGGUUCGAGUCCUGGUGCGAGCACUA